UUAGAACGCUGGCGGCAGGCCUAACACAUGCAAGUCGAGCGGUAGAGAGGUGCUUGCAUCUCUUGAGAGCGGCGGACGGGUGAGUAAUGCCUAGGAAUCUGCCUGGUGGUGGGGAUAACGUUCGGAAACGGACGCUAAUACCGCAUACGUCCUACGGGAGAAAGCGGGGGAUCUUCGGACCUCGCGCCAUUAGAUGAGCCUAGGUCGGAUUAGCUAGUUGGUGAGGUAAUGGCUCACCAAGGCGACGAUCCGUAACUGGUCUGAGAGGAUGAUCAGUCACACUGGAACUGAGACACGGUCCAGACUCCUACGGGAGGCAGCAGUGGGGAAUAUUGGACAAUGGGCGAAAGCCUGAUCCAGCCAUGCCGCGUGUGUGAAGAAGGUCUUCGGAUUGUAAAGCACUUUAAGUUGGGAGGAAGGGUAGUAACCUAAUACGUUGCUACUUUGACGUUACCGACAGAAUAAGCACCGGCUAACUUCGUG
Molecule: ribosomal RNA, 483 nt
Filed under: uncultured bacterium
Lineage: Bacteria
Description: bacterial SSU rRNA
Rfam family: Bacterial small subunit ribosomal RNA
Source: RNAcentral